UAGGGAAUCUUCGGCAAUGGACGAAAGUCUGACCGAGCAACGCCGCGUGAGUGAAGAAGGUUUUCGGAUCGUAAAACCCUGUUGGUAGAGAAGAACGUUGGUGAGAGUGGAAAGCUCAUCAAGUGACGGUAACUACCCAGAAAGGGACGGCUAACUACGUGCCGG
Molecule: ribosomal RNA, 165 nt
Filed under: uncultured bacterium
Lineage: Bacteria
Description: partial 16S rRNA
Rfam family: Bacterial small subunit ribosomal RNA
Source: RNAcentral